CAUGCCAUACCAGUGUCUCCACACUAUUUAUUUACAAGGAUAACUAACGGAUAUGUUACACAAUGACCUACACUUGAUAUCGCUAUCAUCCUAGUAAUAGCGUAUCAUUUGGUUGCAAACCAAUUUAAGGAUUACACGAUAAAUCCUCCUUUAUCGAUCAAAGUAAUUCUAAGAACUUUAUCAUAACAUAGGAGUUUGUUAGAAGAUGUAAUCUUAUGA
Molecule: long non-coding RNA, 219 nt
Filed under: Elaeis guineensis (African oil palm)
Lineage: Eukaryota; Viridiplantae; Streptophyta; Magnoliopsida; Arecales; Arecaceae
Description: long non-coding RNA (EGUI_LNC050658)
Source: RNAcentral